This 501-nucleotide ribosomal RNA is filed under the name uncultured bacterium. RNAcentral describes it as "partial 16S ribosomal RNA". It matches the Rfam family "Bacterial small subunit ribosomal RNA", at positions 899 to 1397 of the family's 1533-position model. The record is from RNAcentral.
ACUCAAAUGAAUUGACGGGGGCCCGCACAAGCGGUGGAGCAUGUGGUUCAAUUCGACGCAACGCGCAGAACCUUACCUGGGUUGGAACCCCCUAGAAGUCCUUAGAGAUGAGGAUGUGCUCGCAAGAGAACUAGGUGUCCAGGUGCUGCAUGGCUGUCGUCAGCUCGUGUCGUGAGAUGUUGGGUUAAGUCCCGCAACGAGCGCAACCCUUGUCGUUAGUUGCUAACAGUUAGGCUGAGCACUCUAACGAGACUGCCGGUGUUAAACCGGAGGAAGGUGGGGAUGACGUCAAGUCCUCAUGGCCCUUAUGCCCAGGGCUACACACGUGCUACAAUGGCCGGUACAAAGCGUUGCUAACCCGCGAGGGGGAGCCAAUCGCAAAAAACCGGCCUCAGUUCAGAUUGCAGUCUGCAACUCGACUGCAUGAAGUUGGAAUCGCUAGUAAUCCCUGAUCAGCAGGCAGGGGUGAAUACGUUCCCGGGCCUUGCACACACCGCCCGU